CCCUUUACACCGGUUGAUCCUGCCGGACCCGACUGCUAUCGGGGUGGGACUAAGCCAUGCGAGUCGAGCGCCCCGAGCCACGGCGGGGCGCGGCGGACGGCUCAGUAACACGUGGCUAACCUACCCUCGGGAGGGGGAUAACCUCGGGAAACUGAGGCUAAUCCCCCAUAGGCGGAGAGGCCUGGAAUGGUCCUCCGCUGAAAGGGUUCCGGCGCCAUGCCCGCCGGCGCCGCCCGAGGAUGGGGCCGCGGCCGAUUAGGUAGUUGGUGGGGUAACGGCCCACCAAGCCGAUAAUCGGUACGGGCCGUGAGAGCGGGAGCCCGGAGAUGGGGACUGAGACAAGGCCCCAGGCCCUACGGGGCGCAGCAGGC
RNAcentral lists this ribosomal RNA (371 nucleotides) under Candidatus Bathyarchaeota archaeon. RNAcentral describes it as "bacterial SSU rRNA". It matches the Rfam family "Archaeal small subunit ribosomal RNA", at positions 1 to 340 of the family's 1478-position model. Lineage: Archaea; Thermoproteati; Candidatus Bathyarchaeota. The record is from RNAcentral.